CAGCAGCCGCGGUAAUACGUAGGUGGCAAGCGUUGUCCGGAAUUAUUGGGCGUAAAGGGCUCGCAGGCGGUUUCUUAAGUCUGAUGUGAAAGCCCCCAGCUCAACCGGGGAGGGUCAUUGGAAACUGGGAAACUUGAGUGCAGAAGAGGAGAGUGGAAUUCCACGUGUAGCGGUGAAAUGCGUGGAGAUGUGGAGGAACACCAGUGGCGAAGGCGACUCUCUGGUCUGUAACUGACGCUGAGGAGCGAAAGCGUGGGGAGCGAACAGGAUUAGAUACCCCAGUAGUCCCUGUCUCUUAUAC
RNAcentral lists this ribosomal RNA (301 nucleotides) under uncultured bacterium. RNAcentral describes it as "partial 16S ribosomal RNA". It matches the Rfam family "Bacterial small subunit ribosomal RNA", at positions 509 to 807 of the family's 1533-position model. The record is from RNAcentral.